Molecule: non-coding RNA, 48 nt
Filed under: Schistosoma curassoni
Lineage: Eukaryota; Metazoa; Platyhelminthes; Trematoda; Strigeidida; Schistosomatidae
Source: RNAcentral
AUCCAGCUGACGAGUCUCAAAUAGGACGAGACAAGCAUCAAACUGGAU